CAGGGAGACAACAAAAUGUUAAAUAUUAAUUUUGUCACCUUAGGUCGAUCGGUAUCUCACAUUCUUAAAUUUAUUAAGGAUUUUAUUUCCUAAGUUUUUUUCUAGGUCACACCCAUUACUUUUCCUGGGCCAUUAGCUCAGGUGGUUAGAGCGCACCCCUGAUAAGGGUGAGGUCCCUGGUUCAAGUCCAGGAUGGCCCAUAUCUCUAUGUUGGGGGUAUAGCUCAGUUGGUAGAGCGCCUGCUUUGCAAGCAGGAUGUCAGCGGUUCGAGUCCGCUUACCUCCACUGAUUACCACCUCUUCCAUAAUUUAAGGAAUAGUUUUGAGUCGUGAUCAAAGUCUGAAGGAAUCUAGCUUCCUAAUUAUCUUUAAUUAAGAUGCUGGAUUCAUUGAAUUACCUUCAAUGUUUUCAGAGAACCUUGACAACUGCAUAGAUUAUUUUUAAAGACAAUAAGCAUCUUUAAUGAUGCAGAUUUAUUAUUUUUGCAAAUGCAAUAAUAACAAUUCUAUUAAGCUGAUGCUUCAA
Molecule: transfer RNA, 525 nt
Filed under: uncultured Prochlorococcus sp.
Lineage: Bacteria; Bacillati; Cyanobacteriota; Cyanophyceae; Synechococcales; Prochlorococcaceae
Description: partial 16S-23S ribosomal RNA intergenic spacer
Rfam family: tRNA (bases 213-285)
Source: RNAcentral